GAUGAACGCUGGCGGCGUGCCUAAUACAUGCAAGUCGAGCGAACAGACGAGGAGCUUGCUCCUCUGACGUUAGCGGCGGACGGGUGAGUAACACGUGGAUAACCUACCUAUACGACUGGGAUAACUUCGGGAAACCGGAGCUAAUACCGGAUAAUAUAUUGAACCGCAUGGUUCAAUAGUGAAAGACGGUUUUGCUGUCACUUAUAGAUGGAUCCGCGCCGCAUUAGCUAGUUGGUAAGGUAACGGCUUACCAAGGCGACGAUGCGUAGCCGACCUGAGAGGGUGAUCGGCCACACUGGAACUGAGACACGGUCCAGACUCCUACGGGAGGCAGCAGUAGGGAAUCUUCCGCAAAGGGCGAAAGCCUGACGGAGCAACGCCGCGUGAGUGAUGAAGGUCUUCGGAUCGUAAAACUCUGUUAUUAGGGAAGAACAAAUGUGUAAGUAACUAUGCACGUCUUGACGGUACCUAAUCAGAAAGCCACGGCUAACUACGUG
RNAcentral lists this ribosomal RNA (497 nucleotides) under uncultured bacterium. RNAcentral's name for it is "partial 16S ribosomal RNA". It matches the Rfam family "Bacterial small subunit ribosomal RNA", at positions 28 to 507 of the family's 1533-position model. The record is from RNAcentral.